AGCUAGUUGGUAAGGUAACGGCUUACCAAGGCAAUGAUGCAUAGCCGAGUUGAGAGACUGAUCGGCCACAUUGGGACUGAGACACGGCCCAAACUCCUACGGGAGGCAGCAGUAGGGAAUCUUCCACAAUGGACGAAAGUCUGAUGGAGCAACGCCGCGUGAGUGAAGAAGGGUUUCGGCUCGUAAAGCUCUGUUGGUAGUGAAGAAAGAUAGAGGUAGUAACUGGCCUUUAUUUGACGGUAAUUACUUAGAAAGUCACGGCUAACUACGUGCCAGCAGCCGCGGUAAUACGUAGGUGGCAAGCGUUGUCCGGAUUUAUUGGGCGUAAAGCGAGUGCAGGCGGUUCAAUAAGUCUGAUGUGAAAGCCUUCGGCUCAACCGGAGAAUUGCAUCAGAAACUGUUGAACUUGAGUGCAGAAGAGGAGAGUGGAACUCCAUGUGUAGCGGUGGAAUGCGUAGAUAUAUGGAAGAACACCAGUGGCGAAGGCGGCUCUCUGGUCUGCAACUGACGCUGAGGCUCGAAAGCAUGGGUAGCGAACAGGAUUAGAUACCCUGGUAGUCCAUGCCGUAAACGAUGAGUGCUAAGUGUUGGGAGGUUUCCGCCUCUCAGUGCUGCAGCUAACG
Molecule: ribosomal RNA, 623 nt
Filed under: uncultured bacterium
Lineage: Bacteria
Description: bacterial SSU rRNA
Rfam family: Bacterial small subunit ribosomal RNA
Source: RNAcentral